This 649-nucleotide ribosomal RNA is filed under the name uncultured bacterium. Its description in RNAcentral is "bacterial SSU rRNA". It matches the Rfam family "Bacterial small subunit ribosomal RNA", at positions 66 to 707 of the family's 1533-position model. The record is from RNAcentral.
ACGGCAGCACGGGAGACAUCCUGGUGGCGGGUGACGAACGGGUGACUCAUAUUUCCGAACGUGCCCAGUCGGGAGGAAUAACGCAAAAUAACCUGUGCUAAGUACCGAAUGCCAUCUCUGGAUGAAAGCGGAGGACUCGCAAUGGCCUCGCGCGAUUGGAGCGACCGAUAUCAGAUUAGGAAGUUGGUGUGGAAAAAGCUCACCAAGCCGACUAUCUGUAGCUGGUCUGACACGACGACCAGCCACGCUGGAACUGACACCCGCCCCAGACUCCUACGGGAAGUAGCAGUGGGUAAUUGUGGACAAUGCGCGCAACCCUCACCCCCCAAUGGCGCGAGCAAGAUGAAGGCCUUCGGGUUGUAAACUGCUUAUGAACGGAACGAAACCGUCAGCUUUAGUACCGUGGGCUAAUGACGGGACCGUAUGAAUGACCCCCGGCUAACUACGUGCCAGCAGCCGCGGUAAGACCUAAGGUGCGAGCGUUAAUCGGAAUUACUGCGGCUAAAGCGUGCGCUGGCGGUUAUAUAAGACAAACGUGAAAUCCCCAGGUUCAACCUGAGACCUGGAUUUGAGACUGAAUAGCUCGAGUACGAUAGAGGGGGAUGGAAUUCCUCGUGUACCAGUGAAAUGCCUAAAUAUGCGGACGAAC